GGGUUGUGAGGUUAAGCGACUAAGCGUACACGGUGGAUGCCCUGGCAGUCAGAGGCGAUGAAGGACGUGCUAAUCUGCGAUAAGCGUCGGUAAGGUGAUAUGAACCGUUAUAACCGGCGAUUUCCGAAUGGGGAAACCCAGUGUGAUUCGUCACACUAUCAUUACGUGAAUACAUAGCGUAAUGAAGCGAACCGGGGGAACUGAAACAUCUAAGUACCCCGAGGAAAAGAAAUCAACCGAGAUUCCCCCAGUAGCGGCGAGCGAACGGGGAGCAGCCCAGAGUCUGAAUCAGCUUGUGUGUUAGUGGAACGGUCUGGAAAGUCCGACGGUACAGGGUGAUAGUCCCGUACACCAAAAUGCACAGGUUGUGAACUCGAAGAGUAGGGCGGGACACGUGGUAUCCUGUCUGAAUAUGGGGGGACCAUCCUCCAAGGCUAAAUACUCCUGACUGACCGAUAGUGAACCAGUACCGUGAGGGAAAGGCGAAAAGAACCCCGGCGAGGGGAGUGAAAAAGAACCUGAAACCGUGUACGUACAAGCAGUGGGAGCAUCCUUUUGGGUGUGACUGCGUACCUUUUGUAUAAUGGGUCAGCGACUUAUAUUCUGUAGCAAGGUUAACCGUAUAGGGGAGCCGAAGGGAAACCGAGUCUUAACUGGGCGUUAAGUUGCAGGGUAUAGACCCGAAACCCGGUGAUCUAGCCAUGGGCAGGUUGAAGGUUGGGUAACACUAACUGGAGGACCGAACCGACUAAUGUUGAAAAAUUAGCGGAUGACUUGUGGCUGGGGGUGAAAGGCCAAUCAAACCGGGAGAUAGCUGGUUCUCCCCGAAAGCUAUUUAGGUAGCGCCUCGUGAAUUCAUCUUCGGGGGUAGAGCACUGUUUCGGCUAGGGGGUCAUCCCGACUUACCAACCCGAUGCAAACUGCGAAUACCGAAGAAUGUUAUCACGGGAGACACACGGCGGGUGCUAACGUCCGUCGUGAAGAGGGAAACAACCCAGACCGCCAGCUAAGGUCCCAAAGUCAUGGUUAAGUGGGAAACGAUGUGGGAAGGCACAGACAGCCAGGAUGUUGGCUUAGAAGCAGCCAUCAUUUAAAGAAAGCGUAAUAGCUCACUGGUCGAGUCGGCCUGCGCGGAAGAUGUAACGGGGCUAAACCAUGCACCGAAGCUGCGGCAGCGACACUAUGUGUUGUUGGGUAGGGGAGCGUUCUGUAAGCCGUUGAAGGUGUGCUGUGAGGCAUGCUGGAGGUAUCAGAAGUGCGAAUGCUGACAUAAGUAACGAUAAUGCGGGUGAAAAACCCGCACGCCGGAAGACCAAGGGUUCCUGUCCAACGUUAAUCGGGGCAGGGUGAGUCGACCCCUAAGGCGAGGCCGAAAGGCGUAGUCGAUGGGAAACAGGUUAAUAUUCCUGUACUUGGUGUUACUGCGAAGGGGGGACGGAGAAGGCUAUGUUAGCCGGGCGACGGUUGUCCCGGUUUAAGCAUGUAGGCGGAGGUUCCAGGUAAAUCCGGUACCUUUUUAACGCUGAGGUGUGAUGACGAGGCACUACGGUGCUGAAGUAACAAAUGCCCUGCUUCCAGGAAAAGCCUCUAAGCAUCAGGUAACACGAAAUCGUACCCCAAACCGACACAGGUGGUCAGGUAGAGAAUACCAAGGCGCUUGAGAGAACUCGGGUGAAGGAACUAGGCAAAAUGGUGCCGUAACUUCGGGAGAAGGCACGCUGAUAUGUAGGUGAAGUGAUUUACUCAUGGAGCUGAAAUCAGUCGAAGAUACCAGCUGGCUGCAACUGUUUAUUAAAAACACAGCACUGUGCAAACACGAAAGUGGACGUAUACGGUGUGACGCCUGCCCGGUGCCGGAAGGUUAAUUGAUGGGGUUAUCCGUAAGGAGAAGCUCUUGAUCGAAGCCCCGGUAAACGGCGGCCGUAACUAUAACGGUCCUAAGGUAGCGAAAUUCCUUGUCGGGUAAGUUCCGACCUGCACGAAUGGCGUAAUGAUGGCCAGGCUGUCUCCACCCGAGACUCAGUGAAAUUGAACUCGCUGUGAAGAUGCAGUGUACCCGCGGCAAGACGGAAAGACCCCGUGAACCUUUACUAUAGCUUGACACUGAACACUGGUCCUUGAUGUGUAGGAUAGGUGGGAGGCUUUGAAGUGUGGACGCCAGUCUGCAUGGAGCCAUCCUUGAAAUACCACCCUUUAAUGGCUGGUGUUCUAACGUGGACCCGUAAUCCGGGUUGCGGACAGUGUCUGGUGGGUAGUUUGACUGGGGCGGUCUCCUCCUAAAGAGUAACGGAGGAGCACGAAGGUUAGCUAAUCCUGGUCGGACAUCAGGAGGUUAGUGCAAAGGCAUAAGCUAGCUUGACUGCGAGAGUGACGGCUCGAGCAGGUGCGAAAGCAGGUCUUAGUGAUCCGGUGGUUCUGAAUGGAAGGGCCAUCGCUCAACGGAUAAAAGGUACUCCGGGGAUAACAGGCUGAUACCGCCCAAGAGUUCAUAUCGACGGCGGUGUUUGGCACCUCGAUGUCGGCUCAUCACAUCCUGGGGCUGAAGUAGGUCCCAAGGGUAUGGCUGUUCGCCAUUUAAAGUGGUACGCGAGCUGGGUUUAGAACGUCGUGAGACAGUUCGGUCCCUAUCUGCCGUGGGCGCUGGAGAAUUGAGGGGGGCUGCUCCUAGUACGAGAGGACCGGAGUGGACGCAUCACUGGUGUUCGGGUUGUCAUGCCAAUGGCAUUGCCCGGUAGCUAAAUGCGGAAGAGAUAAGUGCUGAAAGCAUCUAAGCACGAAACUUGCCCCGAGAUGAGUUCUCCCUGAGACUAUAAGUCUCCUGAAGGAACGUUAAAGACGAUGACGUUGAUAGGUCGGGUGUGUAAGUGUAGCGAUACAUUGAGCUAACCGAUACUAAUGAACCGUGAGGCUUAACCUUACAACGCCGAAG
This 2929-nucleotide ribosomal RNA is filed under the name Citrobacter sp. ABFQG. RNAcentral describes it as "23S ribosomal RNA". It matches the Rfam family "Bacterial large subunit ribosomal RNA". Lineage: Bacteria; Pseudomonadati; Pseudomonadota; Gammaproteobacteria; Enterobacterales; Enterobacteriaceae. The record is from RNAcentral.